CCCGAUACGACCGUACCGCAAACCGACACUGGUGCGCGAGAUGAGUAUUCUAAGGCGCUUGAGAGAACUCAGGAGAAGGAACUCGGCAAAUUGACACCGUAACUUCGGAAGAAGGUGUGCCCUAUUAGUGUGUAGUGAACAACGAAGCAUGAAUGGGUUGCAAAAAAUCGGUGGCUGCGACUGUUUAUUAAAAACACAGCACUCUGCAAACACGAAAGUGGACGUAUAGGGUGUGACGCCUGCCCGGUGCUGGAAGAUUAAAUGAUGGGGUGCAAGCUCUUGAUUGAAGUCCCAGUAAACGGCGGCCGUAACUAUAACGGUCCUAAGGUAGCGACAUUCCUUGUCGGGUAAGUUCCGACCUGCACGAAUGGCGUAACGAUGGCCACACUGUCUCCUCCUGAGACUCAGCGAAGUUGAAAUGUUUGUGAUGAUGCAAUCUCCCCGCGGAAAGACGGAAAGACCCCAUGAACCUUUACUGUAGCUUUGUAUUGGACUUUGAACAGAUCUGUGUAGGAUAGGUGGGAGGCUUUGAAGCAGGGUCGCUAGAUCUUGUGGAGCCAACGUUGAAAUACCACCCUGGUGUGUUUGAGGUUCUAACCUAGGUCCAUUAUCUGGAUCGGGGACAGUGCACGGUAGGCAGUUUGACUGGGGCGGUCUCCUCCCAAAGCGUAACGGAGGAGUUCGAAGGUACGCUAGUUACGGUCGGACAUCGUGACGAUAGUGCAAUGGCAUAAGCGUGCUUAACUGCGAGACUGACAAGUCGAGCAGAUGCGAAAGCAGGACAUAGUGAUCCGGUGGUUCUGUAUGGAAGGGCCAUCGCUCAACGGAUAAAAGGUACUCUGGGGAUAACAGGCUGAUACCGCCCAAGAGUUCAUAUCGACGGCGGUGUUUGGCACCUCGAUGUCGGCUCAUCUCAUCCUGGGGCUGUAGCCGGUCCCAAGGGUAUGGCUGUUCGCCAUUUAAAGAGGUACGUGAGCUGGGUUUAAAACGUCGUGAGACAGUUUGGUCCCUAUCUUCCGUGGGCGCUGCAGAUUUGAGGAAGCCUGCUCCUAGUACGAGAGGACCGGAGUGGACACACCUCUGGUGUAUCGGUUGUCACGCCAGUGGCAUUGCCGAGUAGCUAAGUGUGGAAGAGAUAACCGCUGAAAGCAUCUAAGCGGGAAACUCGUUUCAAGAUGAGAUCUGCCGGGGCCUUGAGCCCCCUAAAGAGUCGUUCAAGACCAGGACGUUGAUAGGUCAGGUGUGGAAGCUAAAAA
Molecule: ribosomal RNA, 1256 nt
Filed under: metagenome
Description: bacterial LSU rRNA
Rfam family: Bacterial large subunit ribosomal RNA
Source: RNAcentral